GCACUGCUGAGCAAUUCCACAAUAGGACGAAACGGCCGUCCAGUGC
RNAcentral lists this non-coding RNA (46 nucleotides) under Schistosoma mattheei. The record is from RNAcentral. Lineage: Eukaryota; Metazoa; Platyhelminthes; Trematoda; Strigeidida; Schistosomatidae.